Long non-coding RNA from Papaver somniferum (opium poppy), 1353 nucleotides. RefSeq lists it as uncharacterized. The transcript is spliced from 2 exons. NCBI's taxonomy places the organism in Eukaryota, Viridiplantae, Streptophyta, Magnoliopsida, Ranunculales, Papaveraceae. The record is from RefSeq and is a predicted model, not a curated record.
CCCAUACCAUCAUCCUAUCUAUUUGCCAUCUGUAUUCCCAUCACAUUUCUAAGAUUUAAGUGUAUAUUUCUAGCGAGUUAGUUCGCAGGUUUGUUGUUCAAGAAAUAUAGAAGAAAGAAAGAAAAAUGUUUAGAAUAUUUAACAAAGAGUUGGCAAGUGCACCAAAAGAAUUGAAUGGUCCUCCUCCAGCAUCAAUGAAGCCUGCCGCUGGUUCUAAGAAACCAAAGUUUCCUCAAGAGGUUCUCUCUUUACAUGAUCAUCCAACAAUAUCGAUUAAGAAAAUGCCAAAGGUUGAUAGUACUGAAGGUAUCAUGUGUGGCAGUACCAGCUUCCUUGUUGAUUCUCGUGUGAAGAUUAAUAGUAUUGUAUUCGGAAGGAGACAAGAUUUCUUCUGUGAAUUUCGAGUCAAAUGAGGUGUGGCUUAAUAAUGGAUUACUCAUGUUUAUACUCUUAACGCUAGUAAAUGUUAAUCGAAUAAGCAAGUACAGUUUUUUCGUUUAAAUAUCAUGUAUAUAAGGAUUAUUUUUUUUAAAGUAAUGACGGAAUCCUGUCUUGUUAAUUUAUAUAUCCAUAUACGUUUUAAAGUUCACUGGUAUGAACAUUUUUAGUCGUUUUGUUAUAUUAAAAAUAGUAAUUCUUUGUAUUCUAAACAAUAAUUGUUAUUGUUUUUUGGAUGCAACUUCUAAUGAAAUAAAAUAGAUUAUAUCUGAUUAAACAUCAACAUGCGAGGGCAUAAUCUUUUUCUUGUUCUUAAUAACCUCUUUAUAAUAAUGAUUCGUCGUACUGGCGGCUAAAUUUGCAUAAGAUAAUGAAAAACAGUCAGCAAGAUCAUCGAAGAUUACAAAGAUUUUCUUCAUUCAUAAACUACUAUAUGUAGAGGUUAAUUCUCAUUACUGGAUCAUCACUAAAGAAGAAGAAGAAGAGGAAGAAAAAUCAUUCUCUGAAUUAUGGGCAAGAUCAGUAAGCUCCUUAGCUUCUUCUUAUUUGUUUUGAUUGCCAUGCCUGCAGCCUCUUCAUCGAGCAGGAUGAUGCUCGAGAAGGAUGUGGGAAUAGAAAAGUGCCCGCCAAGAAUAACUCCGUCAUGCGAUUUCGUUCAGUGUCAAAAACCGGCAAAUUGUCCAAAAAUUAGAUGCGGACAAGGUCUUGUUCUUUACCAGCCGUGUUGUGACUGCCCAUCAUGCUGUUCUAAAAGCUUAAAAUUGAUGAACAUACUGGAUUCUGUAUUGUUUUGAUGGUUAUUUAUCACCUCUCUACUGUAUGUUUGCAUUUCUCCUUUUAAUGUUUGGAUUUGGCAGUCGUAAUGUAUCAGUGUGAUGAAAUAAAAUGUAAGCGGUUAUACUUGUGUUUUUUAAA